Molecule: small nuclear RNA, 108 nt
Organism: Nannospalax galili (Upper Galilee mountains blind mole rat)
Lineage: Eukaryota; Metazoa; Chordata; Mammalia; Rodentia; Spalacidae
Source: Ensembl
GUGCUCGCUUCAGGAGCACACAUACUAAAAAUUGAUACAAUACAGAGGAGAUUAGGAUGGCCCCUGCGCAAGGAUGGUACUCAAAUUCAUGAAGCGUUCCAUACUCUU